AUCUCUUGGUUCCAGCAUCGAUGAAGAACGCAGCGAAAUGCGAUAAAUAAUGUGAAUUGCAGAAUUCAGUGAAUCAUCGAAUCUUUGAACGCACAUUGCGCCCUUCGGUAUUCCGGGGGGCAUGCCUGUUCGAGCGUCAUU
RNAcentral lists this ribosomal RNA (141 nucleotides) under Alectoria sarmentosa. RNAcentral describes it as "5.8S ribosomal RNA". It matches the Rfam family "5.8S ribosomal RNA". From Rfam's summary of the family: 5.8S ribosomal RNA (5.8S rRNA) is a component of the large subunit of the eukaryotic ribosome. It is transcribed by RNA polymerase I as part of the 45S precursor that also contains 18S and 28S rRNA. Functionally, it is thought that 5.8S rRNA may be involved in ribosome translocation. RNAcentral also lists the same sequence under 1 other name. Lineage: Eukaryota; Fungi; Ascomycota; Lecanoromycetes; Lecanorales; Parmeliaceae. The record is from RNAcentral.